AUUGAACGCUGGCGGCAUGCUUUACACAUGCAAGUCGAACGGCAGCGCGGGCUUCGGCCUGGCGGCGAGUGGCGAACGGGUGAGUAAUACAUCGGAAUGUGCCCAGUAGUGGGGGAUAGCUCGGCGAAAGCCGGAUUAAUACCGCAUACGACCUGAGGGUGAAAGCGGGGGAUCUUCGGACCUCGCGCUAUUGGAGCGGCCGAUGGCAGAUUAGCUAGUUGGUGGGGUAAAGGCCUACCAAGGCGACGAUCUGUAGCUGGUCUGAGAGGACGACCAGCCACACUGGGACUGAGACACGGCCCAGACUCCUACGGGAGGCAGCAGUGGGGAAUGUUGGGCAAUGGGCGAAAGCCUGAUCCAGCAAUGCCGCGUGUGUGAUGAAGGCCUUCGGGUUGUAAAGCACUUUUGGCGGGAACGAAAAGGACUGUGCCAAUACCACGGUUCGAUGACGGUACCCGCAGAAUAAGCACCGGCUAACUACGUG
Molecule: ribosomal RNA, 484 nt
Filed under: uncultured bacterium
Lineage: Bacteria
Description: partial 16S ribosomal RNA
Rfam family: Bacterial small subunit ribosomal RNA
Source: RNAcentral